RNAcentral lists this transfer RNA (77 nucleotides) under Solms-laubachia eurycarpa. RNAcentral's name for it is "tRNA-Asp". It matches the Rfam family "tRNA". Rfam says of the family: Transfer RNA (tRNA) molecules are approximately 80 nucleotides in length. The record is from RNAcentral. Lineage: Eukaryota; Viridiplantae; Streptophyta; Magnoliopsida; Brassicales; Brassicaceae.
UGGGAUUGUAGUUCAAUUGGUCAGAGCACCGCCCUGUCAAGGCGGAAGCUGCGGGUUCGAUCCCCGUCAGUCCCGGC